This 429-nucleotide ribosomal RNA is filed under the name Gemmatimonadota bacterium. Its description in RNAcentral is "Gemmatimonadetes bacterium partial 16S ribosomal RNA". It matches the Rfam family "Bacterial small subunit ribosomal RNA", at positions 355 to 776 of the family's 1533-position model. Lineage: Bacteria; Pseudomonadati; Gemmatimonadota. The record is from RNAcentral.
UAGGGAAUUUUCGGCAAUGGACGAAAGUCUGACCGAGCAACGCCGCGUGUGUGAAGAAGGUUUUCGGAUCGUAAAACUCCGUUGCUAGAGAAGAACAAGGACGUUAGUAACUGAACGUCCCCUGACGGUAUCUAACCAGAAAGCCACGGCUAACUACGUGCCAGCAGCCGCGGUAAUACGUAGGUGGCAAGCGUUGUCCGGAUUUAUUGGGCGUAAAGCGAUCGCAGGCGGUUUCUUAAGUCUGAUGUGAAAGCCCCCGGCUCAACCGGGGAGGGUAAUUGGAAACUGGAAGACUGGAGUGCAGAAGAGGAGAGUGAAAUUCCCUGUGAAGCGGUAAAAUGCGUGGAUAUAUGAAGAAACACCGGUGGGGAAGGCGGCUCUCUGGUCUAUAACUGACGCUGGGGCUCGAAGGCGUGGGGAGCAAACAGG